RNAcentral lists this ribosomal RNA (361 nucleotides) under uncultured soil bacterium. Its description in RNAcentral is "bacterial SSU rRNA". It matches the Rfam family "Bacterial small subunit ribosomal RNA", at positions 26 to 380 of the family's 1533-position model. The record is from RNAcentral.
AGAUUGAACGCUGGCGGCAGGCCUAACACAUGCAAGUCGAGCGGUAGCACGGGUACUUGUACCUGGUGGCGAGCGGCGGACGGGUGAGUAAUGCCUAGGAAUCUGCCUGGUAGUGGGGGAUAACGCUCGGAAACGGACGCUAAUACCGCAUACGUCCUACGGGAAGAAAGCAAGGGGACCGUUCGGCCUUGACGCCUAUCAGUAGUGAGCCUAGGUCGGAUUAGCUAGUUGGUGAGGUAAUGGCUCACCAAGGCGACGAUCCGUAACUGGUCUGAGAGGAUGAUCAGUCACACGUGACUGAGACGACGGUCCAGACGUCGUACGGAGCAGCGAGUGGGAAUAUAGGACAAGUGGGACGAAA